This 969-nucleotide long non-coding RNA is filed under the name Anolis carolinensis (green anole). Its description in RNAcentral is "lncRNA (ENSACAG00000038401.1)". The record is from RNAcentral. Lineage: Eukaryota; Metazoa; Chordata; Lepidosauria; Squamata; Anolidae.
AGAACAGCAAUAGGAAAGUGAAGGAGCAUCCACGGAUACAUCUCACACUGCUCAAGGACCAGGGUGGCUCACCGCAAUCUAUUCUGACUAGCAGCAGCUCCUUAGUGUCUAAGACAGACAACAUACGAUGCUGAAACAAUAUUCCACCAAAACAUUUGAAAGAACUUCUGGUGGGUCAACUCAUCUAUUUCAUCUUUCAAAUCACAAGAAGCCAAUAUUUUAUCCAUUAAUUCUCUCUGCUGUCAAGAGCUGGAGGAGGAAAAGGCCACAGCAAAGACUACUGCACCAGAGAGGAUGACAGAAAAAACCAUUCCCAUGAUAAUAGAUCACUGACUUUCAACUAUGGGACCAUGAACUACUAUUGAGUUGCAUUCUGUAACGGAUCAGCCUACCUUACAAGGUUAGUGUACAGGUAAUUUUUUGGGAUUUAACCUCAGCACUCUAAACUAACUAUAUAGUCUCAAAUAUAGUUCUCAGUCUUUCUUCCCUGCAGGCUUUAACUAUACUCCUCAAAGGAAAAAACCCACAGAUCUCAAACCUAUAUCUAUUUUCACACUUCAAAAACCAACCCCCUAACUGAAAAAGAAUUCUUGGGCUGCAUAGCUCCAACUGUCACUUUGGCUCUGCCCAUCUCCAGUUGCUAAGCAACUCUCCUCAUUUACAUCAGCCAGUCAUACUGCAUUUCCAGUAAUGGCUGCCUGAUCGCUCCUCCCCCCCUGCUCUGCUCAGCUUUUGUCAACUACCUGUACACUAAGCUAGUAAGGUAGGUUGAUCUGUUACACAUUUGAACUAAGGUAGACUGCAACCCCAAUUUGCAUGUUGGACCAGGGCUCCAGACUAAUGCUCAACUUCCACUUGGUCAUGAAAACUCACUUAGAGAAGUCACACUUGCUCAACUUCAGAGGAAGGCAAUGGCAAGCCCCCUCUGAAUAAAUCUUGCCAAGAAAAUCCCUUGAUAGGUUCACCAUA